UACGUAGGGGGCAAGCGUUGUCCGGAAUCAUUGGGCGUAAAGCGCGCGUAGGCGGCCCGAUAAGUCUGCUGUGAAAGUCCAGGGCUCAACCCUGGAAUGCCGGUGGAUACUGUCGGGCUAGAGUCCGGAAGAGGAGUGUGGAAUUCCUGGUGUAGCGGUGAAAUGCGCAGAUAUCAGGAGGAACACCAAUGGCGAAGUCAGCACUCUGGGACGUGACUGACGCUGAGACGCGAAAGCGUGGGGAGCAAACAGG
RNAcentral lists this ribosomal RNA (253 nucleotides) under uncultured bacterium. RNAcentral's name for it is "partial 16S ribosomal RNA". It matches the Rfam family "Bacterial small subunit ribosomal RNA", at positions 524 to 776 of the family's 1533-position model. The record is from RNAcentral.